GCCGGGAUGGCGGAAUUGGCAGACGCACGGGAUUCAAGACCCCGCGCCGCAAGGCAUGAGAGUUCGAUUCUCUCCCCCGGCA
This 82-nucleotide transfer RNA is filed under the name bacterium. RNAcentral describes it as "tRNA-Leu". It matches the Rfam family "tRNA". From Rfam's summary of the family: Transfer RNA (tRNA) molecules are approximately 80 nucleotides in length. Their secondary structure includes four short double-helical elements and three loops (D, anti-codon, and T loops). The record is from RNAcentral.